Molecule: ribosomal RNA, 253 nt
Filed under: uncultured bacterium
Lineage: Bacteria
Description: partial 16S ribosomal RNA
Rfam family: Bacterial small subunit ribosomal RNA
Source: RNAcentral
UACGUAGGGUGCAAGCGUUAAUCGGAAUUACUGGGCGUAAAGCGUGCGCAGGCGGCUUCGCAAGUCAGGCGUGAAAGCCCCGGGCUUAACCUGGGAAUUGCGCUUGAAACUACGGUGCUGGAGUGCGGCAGAGGAAGGUGGAAUUCCACGUGUAGCGGUGAAAUGCGUAGAGAUGUGGAGGAACACCAAUGGCGAAGGCAGCCUUCUGGGUCGACACUGACGCUCAUGCACGAAAGCGUGGGGAGCAAACAGG